Long non-coding RNA from Chrysolophus pictus (golden pheasant), 2555 nucleotides. The record is from Ensembl. Lineage: Eukaryota; Metazoa; Chordata; Aves; Galliformes; Phasianidae.
GCCCCCCGCCGCAGCAUCCCCCGGCCCCCCCUCCCCCUGCCCCCCCCGGGACCCCCGGCUUCGGGCAGCACCAAACCGGGCAGCCCCCGCCGCGGGGUCCGAGCUCUGCCGAUGCGCAACCGAUCCCAUCUGGUCCCGGGGGUCCCUUCGGUGCUUCCGGAUCCGUGGGUCGACGGAUUCUGUGGAUCCGGGGGGGUCUCCGGGGUCGCCCUCCAUUGCAAAAUCCCUCGGACGCUUCGCCCCACGCUGCGUAGGGAGAAACGUUUGCGACCUUUGGGUUUGGGGCCGGCGGAUUUGGGGUCGUCGCGGCUGCGUUUGGGGCUGACGGCCUCGGCUUUGGGGUCGGCGUAAGGAGGGGAGGGGGUGGGGAUGGGUUCGGACCCCCCCCGCGGGCGGUGGGCGCCGGUGAAGGGAGCCACGGAGCAGAAGGAGGAGAAGCCGUCGUUGGCGUCGAAGCAUUCGGGGCUGUGAGGCGUUUCGGGGCAAAUUUGGGGCGUUUCGGUGCAAACGUGGGGGUCCGGGGGGAGUUUGGGGGGCUCGGAACCAAACCGGGUGUUUUCGGCCCCAAACUGGACGUUCUCGGCCCCUAAUUGGACAUUUUCGGCCCCAAAUCGGGUGUUUUCGGACCCAAAUUGGGCGUUUUUGGACCCAAAUUGGGGAUUUCUGGACGCAAAUUGGCCGUUUUCAGCCCCAAAUUGGGCAUUUUCAACCCCAAAUCGGGCGUUUUCAGACCCAAACUGGGCAUUUUUGGACCCAAACUGGACGUUUUCGGAUCCAGAUCGGGCGUUUUCAGCCCCGAAUCGGGCGCUCUCUGACCCAAAUUCCACAUUUUCAGCCCCAAAUUUGGCAUUUUCAGACCCAAAGCGGACGUUCUCAGCACUGAAGCGAAGCGUUUCGGGAGUGAAUUUGGCGUUUUCGGCCCCAAAUCUGACGUGUUCAGCGCCAAACCGGAUGCCUUCCGUACCCACUUUGGUAUUUUCAGUACCGAGCUUUGCAUUUUCAGCGCCGAAUUUGGUAUUUUCGGCACCAAAUCGGCCACUUUCAGUCCCAAACUUCAUAUUUUCAGCGCCGAAACGGAGAUUUUCUGCAGCGAUUUUGGUAUUUUCAGUGCUGAAUUUGGCAUUUUCAGCACCAAACCGGAGAUCCUCGGUACUGCGUCUCGUAUUUUCAGUCCCAAUUCUGGUAUUUUCAGCCCAAAUUCUGGCAUUUUCAGCGCCGAGCAGCAGAUUUUCAGUUCCACCUUUGAACUCGGUGCCAAAUCUGACGUUUUCUGCCCCGAUUCUGAGGCCUUCGGUGUCCAACCUGCAACUUUCAGUCCUGAUUCUGGGAUUUUCUGCACCGGUUCUGACAUUUUCACUCCCAAUUCUGCCAUUUUCAGUCCCAGCUCUGUAAUUUUCAGACUCAAAUCUACUACAUUCCGUCUCAAUUCCGCUAUUUUCAGACCCAACUCUGCUAUUUUCAUUCCCAAAUCCGCCGUUUUCAGACCCAAUUCCACUUCCGGUCCCAAAUCCGCCAUUUUCACACCCAAAUCCAAAUCUUCCGGCACCGAAUCCCCCCCUCACCGCCCCAAUUUUGGCAUUUUCAGCACCAAAUCUGCCGCUUUCCGCCCCGAUUUGGGCACUCUCAGUUCCCACUUUCACACAUCCUGUGCAAAAAUCGCCAUUUUCAGCCCCAAUUUUAGCGUAUUCCGUACCAUUCCUGGCCAUUUCGGCUCCAAAAUCAGCAUUUUUUGUACCGUUUCUGCUAUUUUCAGUCCCACCUGUGCUAUUUUCAGUCCCAAAAUCAGCGUUUUCUGUACCGUUUCCAGCAUUUUCACCACAAUUUUGGACGUUUCCAAAACCGUUCUCAGCAUUUCCAGCGACGUCUGCACCGUUUUCCAGGCAAUUUUCCCCAUUUUUGGGUCCGUUUCCCCCAUUUUUGGGGCCGUUUCCCCCAUUUUUGGGGCCGUCCUUUCCAUUUUCAGACUCAUUCCCUCUAUUUUCAAAGCUCUUCUCCCCAUUUUUGGGGCCGUUUCCCCCGUUUUCAGCUCCGUUCUUUCCGUUUUUGGGGCCACUUCCCUCAUAUUCGGGUCCGUUCUCUCCACUUCUGGGGCCACAUCUCCAAUUUUCAGCCCCGUGCCCCCAAUUUUCAGCCCCGUGCCCCCAAUUUUCAGCCCCGUGCCCCCAAUUUUCAGCCCCGUGCCCCCAAUUUUCAGCCCCGUGCCCCCAAUUUUCAGCCCCGUGCCCCCAAUUUUCAGCCCCGUGCCCCCGGGCGAAACGUUGGGCAAAAGCGGCCUCGGACCCCCAGAUGUGGGGCUGAGACCCCACAAAAGCACGGAAACGACGGGCCAGGAGACGAGCAGCAGCCCUGGCCUGAGCCUCACAGAACUCACGCCAAGCUGGGGGCUCCGGGGGGGGAGACCCCAAACCUUCCCCUCCUCCUCCCCCUCCUCCUCCUCCUCUUCCUCCUUUCUCUCCCCCUCCUCCUCUUCCUUCCCCUCCUCUUCCUCCUCCUCCUCCUCCUCCUCCGGACCCCCCCCCCGCCCCGCUUCUUUCGCUGGGGGGGGGGGGCGCGCG